AACACCAAGUUAACUGGGGCCUCAUGUACAAAGCUUGCGUACGCACAAAAAUGCUGCGUACGCCAUUUCUCACGCUCACGUCCGGAUGUACGGAGACUGACUUGAAUGUGAGAAUGUUUGCCCAGUGUUUUCCCUUCAUAUCUCUGAUAGUUUUCAUUUUAAAAGAAAUACAUAUGGGACAGGAUCAUGCAUGUGAAUAGAUAGGCUGACGAGUAAGCAUUCGCAUUAUUGUCACACUUGUGUGCAAAUAUAGGGAUAUGAUCCAGAAAUCGUAAUGUUGUGGCGAGGUGGCUUGGAUCAACUUAGUUUAAUCCAUUCGGGUGCACAUGC
This is a long non-coding RNA of Alosa sapidissima (American shad), 330 nucleotides long. RefSeq lists it as uncharacterized. The record is from RefSeq and is a predicted model, not a curated record. The transcript is spliced from 3 exons. Lineage: Eukaryota; Metazoa; Chordata; Actinopteri; Clupeiformes; Clupeidae.